This is a long non-coding RNA of Suricata suricatta (meerkat), 1727 nucleotides long. RefSeq lists it as uncharacterized. The transcript has 5 exons. NCBI's taxonomy places the organism in Eukaryota, Metazoa, Chordata, Mammalia, Carnivora, Herpestidae. The record is from RefSeq and is a predicted model, not a curated record.
UCCCUGACUGCUGCCAGUUUGCAGGCCGACAAGGCAUUCAGACGCCAGGCUCUAACUGAGGAGGGCCCUGGUGGGGCCCUCGUCGGAGAGGUGCGCUCCGACUAAGGGCCGUCAAUCUGUCAGUAGCGCUUGAGACUCCUCAGCCUUGUCCAAGGGAAGGCGGGCGGCGCUGCAGGAAGGGGGAGCCCAGUGCUGGAGAGUCCGCUCCACUUCCAGGGACCCACCUGCAACCUGGACGCCCGACCGAACCAGCACAAACCUGAGCGGCCGCAGCUGCUGCAAAGCCCUGUCCUUCCCCGAAGCCCUUCAUUCGUCCAUUAAACAGCCUCCGAACAUGAGAAUGUUUACUUAAGUGUGACACACAGAAGAGUACAAAUCCUAAGGCUCCAGCCCGCUGAGUUUUCAGUGACACACACGCACGCAGUACCUCCAGCUCAGGGCAGAACAGAACCAGACCUCAGGAGCCCCUCACGCCCACUCCCCGCCACUUCUCCCCACGAGGAUAACCUCUUUCCUGGACCCAAGUACCACACAUCACUUCUGCCUGCUUCUGGAUCGGGGAACCUGAGCGUGGACACCAGCUGGCAGCCUGUAGAAAUGGAGAAUCCUAGAUUCCCCCCCCGCCCCCGGGCCUACUCCAUCAAAAUCUCCUGGUGAUCCCUCUGCACAUUCAAGUUCAAGUACAGACGGUCCCAUUUGCAAGUGUUCAAGUGCCAGCUCGGGAGCCCACGGGCACCGGAACGGCCGGCACUCCCUCUUCCAACAGCGUCUGCUCUUCUGCUGGCUGAAGAGUUGAGGGGCGCAGUUGCGCACACCCGGAGUUCUGAAUCUUGUCUUCAGAAGUGGAAUGUCGCCUGGUACCCUGCAGUGUCCCCCAUCACCAAGUGGCUUUAAUUUGCUUGACUCACCUGCUAGACUGAAAGACUCAAGGUCACCUUUAUACCCACAAUGCCUAUGGCUUUUUACGCAGAAUUACCAUCUAAAAGGAACCUUAGAGAGAAUUCUCCUUUAAAAGCUUUUGUUCUCCUCAUCUACAAGAAUUCUGGAAUCAACUGCAUUUUGCAUUUUGUUUUUGUUGGUUUGUCUUCUAGCCGAGGGGCCAGAAGUCAAACCUCUUAUCCUCAGGUCUCGCCCUGUUCUCGUGUCUCUCUUCUCCCACCCUUGCUUUCUACUUUUCACUCGUAUUUUUCUAUUUUGCAUUUCCUUUAAUUUACCUUUACUUCUGUGGAAUGAGAUGAAAUAUAAACAGACUCUAUAUAAAGAAAGAUUCUGUUUUUGAGAAAGAACGGACAACAUGAACUGAACUGAACCGAACUGGAGAUUCCCACUGGGAAAGAAGUGGAGAAAUCAGCCCAAAUUCAUGACCGUUUCUGCCAAUAGCCAGUCCAGGCCUGAGCCAAGAAGGCAGUUGCCGUCUGCGAUGCGAAGGGUGCCACAUGGAAACAGGGCAGGGACUACUCUGCGGACCUGAAGCCUCAAGUCCUGGGGUCCAGAUACCAGCAGGUGCCCGGUAAACAGAACACUACCCGAGAAUGUUCUACUUAACUUUGACUUCCCAAACCCAUUCCUACCAUGCCAUGUGACUGCUAUGUGUUCACAGGGCAGGGGCUGGAGACACAGUAUGCGUGAUGCACCAGGAGGAAUUGCAGAAAAGCUGGUACUCUGAGGAAGCCACCCUGAUGCAAACGCCCCGCCCAUCUCUCUCUCUCUCUCUCUCACACACACAC